This 460-nucleotide ribosomal RNA is filed under the name uncultured bacterium. Its description in RNAcentral is "partial 16S ribosomal RNA". It matches the Rfam family "Bacterial small subunit ribosomal RNA", at positions 338 to 795 of the family's 1533-position model. The record is from RNAcentral.
CCUACGGGUGACAGCAGUGAGGAAUAUUGGUCAAUGGGCGCGAGCCUGAACCAGCCAAGUCGCGUGAGGGAAGACGGCCCUACGGGUUGUAAACCUCUUUUGCCGGGGAGCAACGGGCGCCACGUGUGGCCCCACUGAGAGUACCCGGAGAAAAAGCAUCGGCUAACUCCGUGCCAGCAGCCGCGGUAAUACGGAGGAUGCGAGCGUUAUCCGGAUUUAUUGGGUUUAAAGGGUGCGUAGGCGGUCCGGAAAGUCAGCGGUAAAAGCCCGGGGCUCAACCCCGGCGAGCCGUUGAAACUGGCGGACUAGAGAGGGCGAGAAGUACGCGGAAUGCGCGGUGUAGCGGUGAAAUGCAUAGAUAUCGCGCAGAACUCCGAUUGCGAAGGCAGCGUACCGGCGCCGGACUGACGCUGAGGCACGAAAGCGUGGGUAUCGAACAGGAUUAGAUACCCCAGUAGUC